CCUACGUGAUGCAGCAGUGAGGAAUAUUGGUCAAUGGGCGCGAGCCUGAACCAGCCAAGUAGCGUGAAGGAUGACUGCCCUACGGGUUGUAAACUUCUUUUAUAAAGGAAUACAGUGAGGCACGUGUGCCUGUUUGUAUGUACUUUAUGAAUAAGGAUAGGCUAACUCCGUGCCAGCAGCCGCGGUAAUACGGAGGAUCCGAGCAUUAAACGGAUUUAUUGGGUUUAAAGGGAUCCUAGAUGGGUUGUUAAGUCAGUUGGGAAAGUUUGCGGCUCAACCGUAAAAUUGCACUUGAUACUGGCAGUCUUGAGUACAGUAGAGGAAGGCGGAAUGCGUGGUGUAGCGGUGAAAUGCUUAGAUAUCACGAAGAACUCCGAUUGCGAAGGCAGCUUACUAAACUGCCACUGACAUUGAUGCUCGAAAGUGUGGGUAUCAAACAGGAUUAGAUACCCUAGUAGUC
RNAcentral lists this ribosomal RNA (460 nucleotides) under uncultured bacterium. RNAcentral's name for it is "partial 16S ribosomal RNA". It matches the Rfam family "Bacterial small subunit ribosomal RNA", at positions 338 to 795 of the family's 1533-position model. The record is from RNAcentral.